GAGUGUAUGAUAUGCUUGAAGAACAAAAUACAUCACAUCUGAAUUCUUUUUGGGGACAGGAGGAGUGUAGUUAAAGAGUAAGCCUAUGGUCAGACUAUGCUGCAGGAGCCAUCUCUUUAUCAACAAAUGAUCAUUAUUAUUACAUUUGCGUUUUUUUUGCAAAACAACUCUGGCAGCCAAAUACAGGGUGGAAUGAAGAGGAAAGAAGGCAAGGAGGCUAAUUAGCUGGUUGAUGCGAUGGGUAAUGAGGUCAGAACAAGGUCAGCAGGAGGUAGAAUGGAAAAGGUUGAGAGGGUUGGAGACAAUUUAGAGAUGGUAGAGACAUAAGAUGGCUACUUAUCAGAUGUGGGAAGUGGAGACGAAGUCAUUUGAGAUGGCAUUUGCAAAAGCUAGUUGUUGUUUGGAGGGGAAAAGGUGCAAAGGAGGUGAAAGCAUUUCUAACUUUACAGAUAAGGGAAAGUUGAUGCUGUUAACCAACAUAAGGAGUCUGGGAAGGAAAGCAUUUGGUUGAGGGCUGAAAGACAUGCUAAAUUUUGGAGGUGUUGAGUUUGAGGUAUCUAGCGUCCAGGAACAGAUGUCUGAUUGAUAUUUGGAAAAUAUGAUUGGAACCUUCCAAGUGAAAAAGACUGCUCCAUGGGUAAUGCCAAGAAGAGAAGAGAGUGGAAGUAGAACUUUGGAAAAUACCUGUAUUUUAGGGCUAGGUCAAGGAUGGGGUGUCAGCAAAGAGAUUGGAGGAGGAAAGGUCAGGGCCCAUAGAGAGAUAGUGCUCUGGGAGCCACAGGUGGAGCCAGCCAGUAAUGACAAACAGCGGGGCGAGCCCUACAGAGCCCCAAAGAAGUCCAGCUGGGCAAGCUGCCCCCAGCCCCACUCUGAUGCUCUCCAGCUGCUCUCUAAAGUUUAAAGCACUGGCAGUCCCUGCUAACCCACGGUUUCACUUUCUGAGCUCUGGAAGCAGAUAACCUUCCUUCUGACGUGUCCUCCAAUGCUACAGCACGCUGCCUACGUCAUUCAUCUCAUUUCAUAUCACAGAGGCAUUUUGUUAUCUCACGGCAUCACAAGAAGAGAGAUCACCUAGAAGAACCUUGAAGGUAGAGAAUCGUUCUUCCUCCUCAACCGUUGGCAUAGCCAGCAGGAUAAACUUUAGCUGGCUGGACACUGCUGCGGCUGAGAGAUUAUGGGACAUCUGACAAAAGCUGGCACGAGGGAAGAACCCUCAUCACCACAUCAGCCCACUGGAUCUCUGCCUGCCAGGUCUCGUGCAAGUGAGAGUGAUGGUCCCCAAAAUAUCCUGAGGUUCCUGCACCUGCCUGGAAGUGGCCCUCUUUACUUACCUGAGACAUGUCAAGGAAGAAGUUGCUGCAGCCAAGGUCAAAGAGGUUGCUGCCUUUAACAUCUCCCUUUUAUGGGAAGAACAAACCCUUGAAAUCUUCCAGAGAUCCUCUGGGAAGUUUCAAACUCAAGAAGACUUCAUU
Long non-coding RNA from Felis catus (domestic cat), 1472 nucleotides. RefSeq lists it as uncharacterized. Lineage: Eukaryota; Metazoa; Chordata; Mammalia; Carnivora; Felidae. The transcript is spliced from 4 exons. The record is from RefSeq and is a predicted model, not a curated record.